GGCCCCAUAGUCUAGCGGUUAGGACGUCGGCCUCUCACGCCGAAAACGCGGGUUCAAGUCCCGCUGGGGUCA
This 72-nucleotide transfer RNA is filed under the name Pseudomonadota bacterium. RNAcentral's name for it is "tRNA-Glu". It matches the Rfam family "tRNA". From Rfam's summary of the family: Transfer RNA (tRNA) molecules are approximately 80 nucleotides in length. Lineage: Bacteria; Pseudomonadati; Pseudomonadota. RNAcentral also lists the same sequence under 2 other names. The record is from RNAcentral.